GACAGAGGGUGCAAACGUUGUUCGGAAUUACUGGGCGUAAAGCGUGUGUAGGCGGCUAUGUAAGUCGGAUGUGAAAGCCCUGGGCUCAACUCAGGAAGUGCACUCGAUACUGCGUAGCUAGAGUACCGGAGAGGUUGGUGGAAUUCUCGGUGUAGAGGUGAAAUUCGUAGAUAUCGAGAGGAACACCGGUGGCGAAGGCGGCCAACUGGACGAGUACUGACGCUGAGACACGAAAGCGUGGGGAGCAAACAGG
This 253-nucleotide ribosomal RNA is filed under the name uncultured bacterium. RNAcentral describes it as "partial 16S ribosomal RNA". It matches the Rfam family "Bacterial small subunit ribosomal RNA", at positions 524 to 776 of the family's 1533-position model. The record is from RNAcentral.